Molecule: long non-coding RNA, 881 nt
Organism: Silurus meridionalis
Lineage: Eukaryota; Metazoa; Chordata; Actinopteri; Siluriformes; Siluridae
Exons: 3
Source: RefSeq, a predicted model, not a curated record
GUCGUUUGUGGGCGGGUGCACACAGCUUUGCGGGAGGCAGGUUGUGUUUAGGAUUGGCGCGAUGUUGCUGUUGGGUACAGGCUUUCUUUCACUUCAGGAGCUGAAGGCCUCCAGUGAGGGAAGCUAGCUGUUUUGACCCUGUGGUGGUGGUGUUUCUCUCACAGAGCGUUUUUCAAAUAUGGCCGUCUGUGACGAUCACGGUCGUGGUGUUUUCCUGAUGAUGUAGCAAAGCAGGCUGUAGUAGGAUGGUUCAAGAUCUAAACACAGAACUUUCUAGGAAGAAUCUUUCCAGGCAUUAGUUAAAAACUGGGAUUAGUGUAUAAAUGUAGCAGGGGAGUAUGUCGAAAAAUGAAUGCAGUUUCACUCCUUGAAAUUCGUUCUUUUAUUUUAGAAAGUCUCGGUUUGACUUGAACGGCCCUCACAAUUAUCUACACAUUUGUCCUGUUUAAUUGAAUUCAGCAACAACUUUUUUUCAUUUCAUCCACAAAGUUCUACAUGCAGUUUGUCAUGUGUACAGUCUGUUACAAUACACCAUACAAAGAAACUGUUACUCCAUAACAUGAAUACAACGUUGUCCUACAACAUAAAUAAUAAAGACAAAAAAAAAAAGACAUACACAGAGAUGCACGUCAAAAUUCCUGCAGUGUGAGAUUGGGUUGUUGUCAUUCACAAUGUGAAGGGGUGCACGUGUGUGUGUGUGUGUGUGUGUGUGUGUGUGUGUGUGUGUGUGUGUGUGUGUGUCUGAAAUGAUGGGGAAGAGGCAGUAGAUGGGUGAUGGGUUUUGAAAAACUUUUAUCCUCUAAAUAAAACUGAAUAUUGUUUUUUUUUUUUUUGUAAGCUAUUUCAUAACUAUUUCAAUUCACCGCACGCACAAUUUAUUA